This 253-nucleotide ribosomal RNA is filed under the name uncultured bacterium. RNAcentral describes it as "partial 16S ribosomal RNA". It matches the Rfam family "Bacterial small subunit ribosomal RNA", at positions 524 to 776 of the family's 1533-position model. The record is from RNAcentral.
UACGAAGGGUGCAAGCGUUAAUCGGAAUUACUGGGCGUAAAGCGCACGUAGGCGGCUUUGUAAGUUAGAGGUGAAAGCCCGGAGCUCAACUUCGGAAUUGCCUUUAAGACUGCAUCGCUUGAAUCAUGGAGAGGUCAGUGGAAUUCCGAGUGUAGAGGUGAAAUUCGUAGAUAUUCGGAAGAACACCAGUGGCGAAGGCGACUGACUGGACAUGUAUUGACGCUGAGGUGCGAAAGCGUGGGGAGCAAACAGG